UACGAAGGGGGCUAGCGUUGCUCGGAAUCACUGGGCGUAAAGGGUGCGUAGGCGGGUUUUUAAGUCAGGGGUGAAAUCCUGGAGCUCAACUCCAGAACUGCCUUUGAUACUGAAGAUCUUGAGUUCGGGAGAGGUGAGUGGAACUGCGAGUGUAGAGGUGAAAUUCGUAGAUAUUCGCAAGAACACCAGUGGCGAAGGCGGCUCACUGGCCCGAUACUGACACUGAGGCACGAAAGCGUGGGGAGCAAACAGG
This 253-nucleotide ribosomal RNA is filed under the name uncultured bacterium. RNAcentral describes it as "partial 16S ribosomal RNA". It matches the Rfam family "Bacterial small subunit ribosomal RNA", at positions 524 to 776 of the family's 1533-position model. The record is from RNAcentral.